AUUGAACGCUGGCGGCAGGCCUAACACAUGCAAGUCGAGCGGAUGAAGGGAGCUUGCUCCUGGAUUCAGCGGCGGACGGGUGAGUAAUGCCUAGGAAUCUGCCUGGUAGUGGGGGAUAACGUCCGGAAACGGGCGCUAAUACCGCAUACGUCCUGCGGGAGCAAGUGGGGGAUCUUCGGACCUCACGCUAUCAGAUGAGCCUAGGUCGGAUUAGCUAGUUGGUGGGGUAAAGGCCUACCAAGGCGACGAUCCGUAACUGGUCUGAGAGGAUGAUCAGUCACACUGGAACUGAGACACGGUCCAGACUCCUACGGGAGGCAGCAGUGGGGAAUAUUGGACAAUGGGCGAAAGCCUGAUCCAGCCAUGCCGCGUGUGUGAAGAAGGUCUUCGGAUUGUAAAGCACUUUAAGUUGGGAGGAAGGGCAGUAAGUUAAUACCUUGCUGUUUUGACGGUACCAACAGAAUAAGCACCGGCUAACUUCGUG
Molecule: ribosomal RNA, 484 nt
Filed under: uncultured bacterium
Lineage: Bacteria
Description: partial 16S ribosomal RNA
Rfam family: Bacterial small subunit ribosomal RNA
Source: RNAcentral